GAAUUGGACAUAGCAACGCCUGACAUUUUUAGUGGUUGUGUAUUAGUUGCUGUCUUGCGGUUCAUAUGUUUUAAACAAAAACGCAUCAGGCUAUUGCAUUGCUACGGUCUUCGAUGCUGAGCGUUAAUAAAUCUCUCGACAGGUGGCAAGGACUGUGAUCGUUACGUUUUGGUAAAUUUAAGACGACGAAUAUUUUUCAAAUUUACAUUGUGGUAUAAACUGUAACAUAUACAUUUUCAAAACGUUUGAUUUCUGAACCACUAUGGCUAGCAGAGAUAGAGAUCGUGGCAAUACUUAAGUGGGGCUGAAAAACUGAAACGAAAGAAGCAACGAGACAAUUAUAUUAAACAGCAAACAAACAACAUUUUGAAGUAUGUAAUUGAAGCUAUUAGUCAUCCAAGACAGCCAAACGAAGGUGAAAAGCAUACGGCAAUGAAUUAGAUCCCUUUGGAAGAGGAAAAUCAAGAAUUGAAUGCACCUGUGAAGGAAAAUGAAGAAGACAUCAAUGAAAUUGAAUUGGACGAAAAUGGAAACAAUAGAAAAACAAGCGAUUGUGAAACUCAUCAAGAAAAAGAUAUUGAAAAUGUAGAAAUUAAAGCACAAAAAGAAAACAGAAAUUUUGAUGCAAUAAGAAGUGCAAAAUAUUAUUCCAUUUUAUUGGAUGUUACACCAGAUGUGAGCCAUCAAGAGUAAUUAUCGGUUGUUCUUCGUUAUAUCAACAUAACAGGCGAGGAGAUUGAAAUCAAGGAACAUUUUAUCAAAUCUGAAAUAGUUCACGAUACAAAAGGAAAAGGACUAUCUGAAACUAUCAUGCUCAUUCUGGAUCAGUUGGGAAUAAAAAUAUCCGACAAGAAUAAGAUAACGGUGCCAAUAUGAGGGGAAUAUAUCAAGGAGUACAAGCAAAUAUAUUACGUGUAAAUCCUAAAGUGUUUUACAUACCAUACGGUAGUCACUACUUGAAUUUGUUAUUGGGAGAUAUAGCAAAAUCAUCAACUCAAGCACUACAUUUUUUUGGCGUUUUACAAAAGAUUUACACGAUAUUUACAGCAUACCAAUCGCGUUGGGAUGUUCUAAAAGAACACGUUAAAAAAAUUACACCUAAACCAUUAUCAGAAAUUAGGUGGGAAUGCCGUUUUGAUAGUGUAAAGGCUAUUCGAUUUCAUGUUUGCCUGAACAAUAAAUUGACAAUUGAGAUUUGGCCUAUAGUGCGCAAAAUAAAUGAAUUUGAAUUUAUUACCAGUCUUAUCAUUUGAUACGA
This is a long non-coding RNA of Bombus pascuorum, 1258 nucleotides long. RefSeq lists it as uncharacterized. The transcript has 2 exons. The record is from RefSeq and is a predicted model, not a curated record. Lineage: Eukaryota; Metazoa; Arthropoda; Insecta; Hymenoptera; Apidae.